AUUGAAGAGGUGAAUACCUUUCUAAUAAAUUUUUUUGAUAUAUCUAGAAGAGAAUGAGAUUCUCUCGUAAUGGACACCUCUUGGAAGGAGAAAUCAAACUCUGUUAGCUAUGGUUCGACCUAUGAUGGGGUUUACAAGUCUGUCGAUCUCUUUGGGAUUAUGCUCUUGAGAUAAAUGCUAAGUUCUGAACAAUAUUUCGAGCAAAUCGAUUACAAAAACUCCAUAUGAGAUAUGGAUUGGAUGU
Molecule: long non-coding RNA, 244 nt
Filed under: Elaeis guineensis (African oil palm)
Lineage: Eukaryota; Viridiplantae; Streptophyta; Magnoliopsida; Arecales; Arecaceae
Description: long non-coding RNA (EGUI_LNC065351)
Source: RNAcentral